GGCUCAGAUUGAACGCUGGCGGCAUGCCUUACACAUGCAAGUCGAACGGCAGCGGGCCUUCGGGUGCCGGCGAGUGGCGAACGGGUGAGUAAUGCAUCGGAACGUGCCAUUGAGUGGGGAUAACGUAGCGAAAGUUGCGCUAAUACCGCAUAUUCUGUGAGCAGGAAAGCAGGGGACCGCAAGGCCUUGCGCUCUUUGAGCGGCCGAUGUCAGAUUAGCUAGUUGGUGAGGUAAAGGCUUACCAAGGCGACGAUCUGUAGCGGGUCUGAGAGGAUGAUCCGCCACACUGGAACUGAGACACGGUCCAGACUCCUACGGGAGGCAGCAGUGGGGAAUUUUGGACAAUGGGGGCAACCCUGAUCCAGCCAUGCCGCGUGAGUGAAGAAGGCCUUCGGGUUGUAAAGCUCUUUCGGCCGGGAAGAAAUCGCAUGGGUGAAUACCCUGUGUGGAUGACGGUACCGGAACAAGAAGCACCGGCUAACUACGUGC
This 489-nucleotide ribosomal RNA is filed under the name uncultured Dechloromonas sp. RNAcentral's name for it is "bacterial SSU rRNA". It matches the Rfam family "Bacterial small subunit ribosomal RNA", at positions 21 to 508 of the family's 1533-position model. Lineage: Bacteria; Pseudomonadati; Pseudomonadota; Betaproteobacteria; Rhodocyclales; Azonexaceae. The record is from RNAcentral.